Molecule: ribosomal RNA, 253 nt
Filed under: uncultured bacterium
Lineage: Bacteria
Description: partial 16S ribosomal RNA
Rfam family: Bacterial small subunit ribosomal RNA
Source: RNAcentral
UACGGAGGGUGCAAGCGUUAUCCGGAUUCACUGGGUUUAAAGGGUGCGUAGGCGGCGCGGUAAGUCGGGUGUGAAAUCUCGGAGCUUAACUUCGAAACUGCAUUCGAUACUGCCGUGCUUGAGGACUGGAGAGGAGACUGGAAUUUACGGUGUAGCGGUGAAAUGCGUAGAUAUCGUAAGGAAGACCAGUGGCGAAGGCGGGUCUCUGGACAGUUCCUGACGCUGAGGCACGAAGGCCAGGGGAGCAAACGGG